GCCGGUGUAGCUCAGCUGGUAGAGCAACUGAUUUGUAAUCAGUAGGUCGGGGGUUCGAAUCCCUUCACCGGCU
Molecule: transfer RNA, 73 nt
Filed under: Candidatus Zixiibacteriota bacterium
Lineage: Bacteria; Pseudomonadati; Candidatus Zixiibacteriota
Description: tRNA-Thr
Rfam family: tRNA
About the family: Transfer RNA (tRNA) molecules are approximately 80 nucleotides in length. Their secondary structure includes four short double-helical elements and three loops (D, anti-codon, and T loops).
Source: RNAcentral